AGUAAAUAGAUACCCAGGUAGUCCACGCCGUAAACGAUGGAUGCUAGCUGUUAUGAGUAUCGACCCUUGUAGUAGCGAAAGCUAACGCGUUAAGCAUCCCGCCUGUGGAGUACGGUCGCAAGACUAAAACAUAAAGGAAUUGACGGGGACCCGCACAAGCGGUGGAGCGUGUUCUUUAAUUCGAAGGUAAGCGAAGAACCUUACCAGGGCUUGACAUCCUUGGAAUUUCUCCGAAAGGAGAGAGUACUUUAUGGACCAAGUGACAGGUGUUGCAUGGCCGUCGUCAGCUCGUGUCGUGAGAUGUUUGGUUAAGUCCAUCAACGAGCGCAACCCUUGUGAAUAGUUGGAUUUUCUAUUCAGACUGCCCCGGUAACGGGGUAGGAAGGAGGGGUAUGAUGUCAGGUCAUUAUUACCCUUACGUCCU
This 424-nucleotide ribosomal RNA is filed under the name uncultured bacterium. RNAcentral describes it as "bacterial SSU rRNA". It matches the Rfam family "Bacterial small subunit ribosomal RNA", at positions 774 to 1210 of the family's 1533-position model. The record is from RNAcentral.